CCAGACUCCUACGGGAGGCAGCAGUGGGGAAUAUUGCGCAAUGGGGGCAACCCUGACGCAGCAACGCCGCGUGCAGGAAGAAGGUCUUCGGAUUGUAAACUGUUGUCGCAAGGGAAGAAGACAGUGACGGUACCUUGUGAGAAAGUCACGGCUAACUACGUGCCAGCAGCCGCGGUAAUACGUAGGUGACAAGCGUUGUCCGGAUUUACUGGGUGUAAAGGGAGCGUAGACGGCCAGACAAGUCUGAAGUGAAAAUCCAGCGCUUAACGUUGGAAGUGCUUUGGAAACUGCCGGGCUAGAGUGCAGGAGGGGCAGGCGGAAUUCCUAGUGUAGCGGUGAAAUGCGUAGAUAUUAGGAGGAACACCAGUGGCGAAGGCGGCCUGCUGGACUGCAACUGACGUUGAGGCUCGAAGGCGUGGGGAGCAAACAGGAUUAGAUCCCCCGGUA
Molecule: ribosomal RNA, 447 nt
Filed under: uncultured bacterium
Lineage: Bacteria
Description: bacterial SSU rRNA
Rfam family: Bacterial small subunit ribosomal RNA
Source: RNAcentral